UGGGAAUUUGGACAAUGGGCGAAAGCCUGAUCCAGCAAUGCCGCGUGUGUGAAGAAGGCCUUCGGGUUGUAAAGCACUUUUGUCCGGAAAGAAAUCCUUGGCUCUAAUACAGUCGGGGGAUGACGGUACCGGAAGAAUAAGCACCGGCUAACUACGUGCCAGCAGCCGCGGUAAUACGUAGGGUGCAAGCGUUAAUCGGAAUUACUGGGCGUAAAGCGUGCGCAGGCGGUUUGCUAAGACCGAUGUGAAAUCCCCGGGCUCAACCUGGGAACUGCAUUGGUGACUGGCAGGCUAGAGUAUGGCAGAGGGGGGUAGAAUUCCACGUGUAGCAGUGAAAUGCGUAGAGAUGUGGAGGAAUACCGAUGGCGAAGGCAGCCCCCUGGGCAAUACUGACGCUCAUGCACGAAAGCGUGGGGAGCAAAACAGGAUUAGAUACCCUGGUAGUCCACGCCCUAAAACGAUGUCAACUAGUUGUUGGGGAUUCAUUUCCUUAGUAACGUAGCUAACGCGUGAAGUUGACCGCCUGGGGAGUACGGUCGCAAGAUU
Molecule: ribosomal RNA, 546 nt
Filed under: uncultured bacterium
Lineage: Bacteria
Description: partial 16S ribosomal RNA
Rfam family: Bacterial small subunit ribosomal RNA
Source: RNAcentral